GACGAACGCUGGCGGCGUGCUUAACACAUGCAAGUCGAACGGAAAGGCCCUGCUUUUGUGGGGUGCUCGAGUGGCGAACGGGUGAGUAACACGUGAGUAACCUGCCCUUGACUUUGGGAUAACUUCAGGAAACUGGGGCUAAUACCGGAUAGGAGCUCCUGCUGCAUGGUGGGGGUUGGAAAGUUUCGGCGGUUGGGGAUGGACUCGCGGCUUAUCAGCUUGUUGGUGGGGUAGUGGCUUACCAAGGCUUUGACGGGUAGCCGGCCUGAGAGGGUGACCGGCCACAUUGGGACUGAGAUACGGCCCAGACUCCUACGGGAGGCAGCAGUGGGGAAUAUUGCACCAUGGGCGGAAGCCUGAUGCAGCAACGCCGCGUGCGGGAUGACGGCCUUCGGGUUGUAAACCGCUUUCGCCUGUGACGAAGCGUGAGUGACGGUAAUGGGUAAAGAAGCACCGGCUAAAUACGUG
This 468-nucleotide ribosomal RNA is filed under the name uncultured bacterium. RNAcentral describes it as "partial 16S ribosomal RNA". It matches the Rfam family "Bacterial small subunit ribosomal RNA", at positions 28 to 507 of the family's 1533-position model. The record is from RNAcentral.